Molecule: long non-coding RNA, 410 nt
Organism: Mytilus californianus (California mussel)
Lineage: Eukaryota; Metazoa; Mollusca; Bivalvia; Mytilida; Mytilidae
Exons: 2
Source: RefSeq, a predicted model, not a curated record
GUAUAUAGUAAAGGUAUAAAUUAGUGAGCAUCAAUUCAUACUACAUGUAGUUUUUGUCUGGACUUCUUGAUUAAAUUAUUUAUAUAUACAAUUUUAGCUUGUAACCAAAUGAAAGGAAAGUACAGUAUUGACAAUGAUUGAUAUCACUGGUGAACAUGUAUGUCAUGUAGGUGUGAAUGUCCUGCAAAAAAGAACUGAUAUCAAAUUACCAUUCACAGUGAACAUGGUGAAGAAUAACCAAUACCAUGAAUACAGGACAUAGAAGACUACCUCACAAAUAUGGGAAUUUUACAAAAAAUACAACAUUUAAAUUUACAAAGAAGACAUUUAUUUUGACAUUCAUGGACUUUGAAAGUAAAGAAAUUAGAAUGUGAAUAAAAAUCCUUGGAAAUAAAAUUUUGAACUUUGAA